This 1449-nucleotide ribosomal RNA is filed under the name Lactiplantibacillus plantarum. Its description in RNAcentral is "bacterial SSU rRNA". It matches the Rfam family "Bacterial small subunit ribosomal RNA". Lineage: Bacteria; Bacillati; Bacillota; Bacilli; Lactobacillales; Lactobacillaceae. The record is from RNAcentral.
GUGCCUAUACAUGCAAGUCGAACGAACUCUGGUAUUGAUUGGUGCUUGCAUCAUGAUUUACAUUUGAGUGAGUGGCGAACUGGUGAGUAACACGUGGGAAACCUGCCCAGAAGAGGGGGAUAACACCUGGAAACAGAUGCUAAUACCGCAUAACAACUUGGACCGCAUGGUCCGAGUUUGAAAGAUGGCUUCGGCUAUCACUUUUGGAUGGUCCCGCGGCGUAUUAGCUAGAUGGUGAGGUAACGGCUCACCAUGGCAAUGAUACGUAGCCGACCUGAGAGGGUAAUCGGCCACAUUGGGACUGAGACACGGCCCAAACUCCUACGGGAGGCAGCAGUAGGGAAUCUUCCACAAUGGACGAAAGUCUGAUGGAGCAACGCCGCGUGAGUGAAGAAGGGUUUCGGCUCGUAAAACUCUGUUGUUAAAGAAGAACAUAUCUGAGAGUAACUGUUCAGGUAUUGACGGUAUUUAACCAGAAAGCCACGGCUAACUACGUGCCAGCAGCCGCGGUAAUACGUAGGUGGCAAGCGUUGUCCGGAUUUAUUGGGCGUAAAGCGAGCGCAGGCGGUUUUUUAAGUCUGAUGUGAAAGCCUUCGGCUCAACCGAAGAAGUGCAUCGGAAACUGGGAAACUUGAGUGCAGAAGAGGACAGUGGAACUCCAUGUGUAGCGGUGAAAUGCGUAGAUAUAUGGAAGAACACCAGUGGCGAAGGCGGCUGUCUGGUCUGUAACUGACGCUGAGGCUCGAAAGUAUGGGUAGCAAACAGGAUUAGAUACCCUGGUAGUCCAUACCGUAAACGAUGAAUGCUAAGUGUUGGAGGGUUUCCGCCCUUCAGUGCUGCAGCUAACGCAUUAAGCAUUCCGCCUGGGGAGUACGGCCGCAAGGCUGAAACUCAAAGGAAUUGACGGGGGCCCGCACAAGCGGUGGAGCAUGUGGUUUAAUUCGAAGCUACGCGAAGAACCUUACCAGGUCUUGACAUACUAUGCAAAUCUAAGAGAUUAGACGUUCCCUUCGGGGACAUGGAUACAGGUGGUGCAUGGUUGUCGUCAGCUCGUGUCGUGAGAUGUUGGGUUAAGUCCCGCAACGAGCGCAACCCUUAUUAUCAGUUGCCAGCAUUAAGUUGGGCACUCUGGUGAGACUGCCGGUGACAAACCGGAGGAAGGUGGGGAUGACGUCAAAUCAUCAUGCCCCUUAUGACCUGGGCUACACACGUGCUACAAUGGAUGGUACAACGAGUUGCGAACUCGCGAGAGUAAGCUAAUCUCUUAAAGCCAUUCUCAGUUCGGAUUGUAGGCUGCAACUCGCCUACAUGAAGUCGGAAUCGCUAGUAAUCGCGGAUCAGCAUGCCGCGGUGAAUACGUUCCCGGGCCUUGUACACACCGCCCGUCACACCAUGAGAGUUUGUAACACCCAAAGUCGGUGGGGUAACCUUUUAGGAACCAGCCGCCUA